AGUCUGCAUGGAGCCGGCCUUGAAAUACCACCCUUUAAUGUUUGAUGUUCUAACGUUGGCCCGUAAUCCGGGUUGCGGACAGUGUCUGGUGGGUAGUUUGACUGGGGCGGUCUCCUCCUAAAGAGUAACGGAGGAGCACGAAGGUUGGCUAAUCCUGGUCGGACAUCAGGAGGUUAGUGCAAUGGCAUAAGCCAGCUUGACUGCGAGCGUGACGGCGCGAGCAGGUGCGAAAGCAGGUCAUAGUGAUCCGGUGGUUCUGAAUGGAAGGGCCAUCGCUCAACGGAUAAAAGGUACUCCGGGGAUAACAGGCUGAUACCGCCCAAGAGUUCAUAUCGACGGCGGUGUUUGGCACCUCGAUGUCGGCUCAUCACAUCCUGGGGCUGAAGUAGGUCCCAAGGGUAUGGCUGUUCGCCAUUUAAAGUGGUACGCGAGCUGGGUUUAGAACGUCGUGAGACAGUUCGGUCCCUAUCUGCCGUGGGCGCUGGAGAACUGAGGGGGGCUGCUCCUAGUACGAGAGGACCGGAGUGGACGCAUCACUGGUGUUCGGGUUGUCAUGCCAAUGGCACUGCCCGGUAGCUAAAUGCGGAAGAGAUAAGUGCUGAAAGCAUCUAAGCACGAAACUUGCCCCGAGAUGAGUUCUCCCUGACUCCUUGAGGGUCCUGAAGGAACGUUGAAGACGACGACGUUGAUAGGCCGGGUGUGUAAGCGCAGCGAUGCGUUGAGCUAACCGGUACUAAUGAACCGUGAGGCUUAACCUUACAACGCCGAAG
RNAcentral lists this ribosomal RNA (770 nucleotides) under Escherichia coli. RNAcentral's name for it is "partial 23S ribosomal RNA". It matches the Rfam family "Bacterial large subunit ribosomal RNA", at positions 2173 to 2925 of the family's 2925-position model. The record is from RNAcentral. Lineage: Bacteria; Pseudomonadati; Pseudomonadota; Gammaproteobacteria; Enterobacterales; Enterobacteriaceae.